RNAcentral lists this ribosomal RNA (1434 nucleotides) under uncultured bacterium. RNAcentral's name for it is "bacterial SSU rRNA". It matches the Rfam family "Bacterial small subunit ribosomal RNA". The record is from RNAcentral.
AGAGUUUGAUCCUGGCUCAGGAUGAACGCCGGCGGUGUGCCUAAUACAUGCAAGUCGUACGCACUGGCCCAACUGAUUGAUGGUGCUUGCACCUGAUUGACGUUGGAUCACCAGUGAGUGGCGGACGGGUGAGUAACACGUAGGUAACCUGCCCCGGAGCGGGGGAUAACAUUUGGAAACAGAUGCUAAUACCGCAUAACAACAAAAGCCACAUGGCUUUUGUUUGAAAGAUGGCUUUGGCUAUCACUCUGGGAUGGACCUGCGGUGCAUUAGCUAGUUGGUAAGGUAACGGCUUACCAAGGCGAUGAUGCAUAGCCGAGUUGAGAGACUGAUCGGCCACAAUGGAACUGAGACACGGUCCAUACUCCUACGGGAGGCAGCAGUAGGGAAUCUUCCACAAUGGGCGCAAGCCUGAUGGAGCAACACCGCGUGAGUGAAGAAGGGUUUCGGCUCGUAAAGCUCUGUUGUUGGAGAAGAACGUGCGUGAGAGUAACUGUUCACGCAGUGACGGUAUCCAACCAGAAAGUCACGGCUAACUACGUGCCAGCAGCCGCGGUAAUACGUAGGUGGCAAGCGUUAUCCGGAUUUAUUGGGCGUAAAGCGAGCGCAGGCGGUUGCUUAGGUCUGAUGUGAAAGCCUUCGGCUUAACCGAAGAAGUGCAUCGGAAACCGGGCGACUUGAGUGCAGAAGAGGACAGUGGAACUCCAUGUGUAGCGGUGGAAUGCGUAGAUAUAUGGAAGAACACCAGUGGCGAAGGCGGCUGUCUGGUCUGCAACUGACGCUGAGGCUCGAAAGCAUGGGUAGCGAACAGGAUUAGAUACCCUGGUAGUCCAUGCCGUAAACGAUGAGUGCUAGGUGUUGGAGGGUUUCCGCCCUUCAGUGCCGGAGCUAACGCAUUAAGCACUCCGCCUGGGGAGUACGACCGCAAGGUUGAAACUCAAAGGAAUUGACGGGGGCCCGCACAAGCGGUGGAGCAUGUGGUUUAAUUCGAAGCUACGCGAAGAACCUUACCAGGUCUUGACAUCUUGCGCUAACCUUAGAGAUAAGGCGUUCCCUUCGGGGACGCAAUGACAGGUGGUGCAUGGUCGUCGUCAGCUCGUGUCGUGAGAUGUUGGGUUAAGUCCCGCAACGAGCGCAACCCUUGUUACUAGUUGCCAGCAUUAAGUUGGGCACUCUAGUGAGACUGCCGGUGACAAACCGGAGGAAGGUGGGGACGACGUCAGAUCAUCAUGCCCCUUAUGACCUGGGCUACACACGUGCUACAAUGGACGGUACAACGAGUCGCAAGCUCGCGAGAGUAAGCUAAUCUCUUAAAGCCGUUCUCAGUUCGGACUGUAGGCUGCAACUCGCCUACACGAAGUCGGAAUCGCUAGUAAUCGCGGAUCAGCAUGCCGCGGUGAAUACGUUCCCGGGCCUUGUACACACCGCCCGUCA